GACGAACGCUGGCGGCGUGCUUAACACAUGCAAGUCGAGCGGUAAGGCCCUUUCGGGGGUACGACGAGCGGCGAACGGGUGAGUAACACGUGGGUGACCUGCCCUCAGCUCUGGGAUAAGCCUGGGAAACCGGGUCUAAUACCGGAUAUGACUCCAUGACGCAUGUUGUGGGGUGGAAAGCCUUGUGCGGCUGAGGAUGGGCCCGCGGCCUAUCAGCUUGUUGGUGGGGUGAUGGCCUACCAAGGCGACGACGGGUAGCCGGCCUGAGAGGGCGACCGGCCACACUGGGACUGAGACACGGCCCAGACUCCUACGGGAGGCAGCAGUGGGGAAUCUUGCGCAAUGGGGCGAAAGCCUGACGCAGCGACGCCGCGUGAGGGAUGACGGCC
This 389-nucleotide ribosomal RNA is filed under the name uncultured bacterium. Its description in RNAcentral is "bacterial SSU rRNA". It matches the Rfam family "Bacterial small subunit ribosomal RNA", at positions 28 to 416 of the family's 1533-position model. The record is from RNAcentral.